GACGAACGCUGGCGGCGUGCUUAACACAUGCAAGUCGAACGGAAAGGCCCUGCUUUUGUGGGGUGCUCGAGUGGCGAACGGGUGAGUAACACGUGAGUAACCUGCCCUUGACUUUGGGAUAACUUCAGGAAACUGGGGCUAAUACCGGAUAGGAGCUCCUGCUGCAUGGUGGGGGUUGGAAAGUUUCGGCGGUUGGGGAUGGACUCGCGGCUUAUCAGCUUGUUGGUGGGGUAGUGGCUUACCAAGGCUUUGACGGGUAGCCGGCCUGAGAGGGUGACCGGCCACAUUGGGACUGAGAUACGGCCCAGACUCCUACGGGAGGCAGCAGUGGGGAAUAUUGCACAAUGGGCGGAAGCCUGAUGCAGCAACGCCGCGUGCGGGAUGACGGCCUUCGGGUUGUAAACCGCUUUCGCCUGUGACGAAGCGUGAGUGACGGUAAUGGGUAAAGAAGCACCGGCUAACUACGUGCCAGCAGCCGCGGCGAUACGUAGGGUGCGAGCGUUGUCCGGAUUUAUUGGGCGUAAAGGGCUCGUAGGUGGUUGAUCGCGUCGGAAGUGUAAUCUUGGGGCUUAACCCUGAGCGUGCUUUCGAUACGGGUUGACUUGAGGAAGGUAGGGGAGAAUGGAAUUCCUGGUGGAGCGGUGGAAUGCGCAGAUAUCAGGAGGAACACCAGUGGCGAAGGCGGUUCUCUGGGCCUUUCCUGACGUUGAGGAGCGAAAGCGUGGGGAGCGAACAGGCUUAGAUACCCUGGUAGUCCACGCUGUAAACGGUGGGUACUAGGUGUGGGGUCCAUUCCACGGGUUCCGUGCCGUAGCUAACGCUUUAAGUACCCCGCCUGGGGAGUACGGCCGCAAGGCUAAAACUCAAAGGAAUUGACGGGGCCCCGCACAAGCGGCGGAGCAUGCGGAUUAAUUCGAUGCAACGCGUAGAACCUUACCUGGGUUUGACAUGGAUCGGGAGUGCUCAGAGAUGGGUGUGCCUCUUUUGGGGUCGGUUCACAGGUGGUGCAUGGCUGUCGUCAGCUCGUGUCGUGAGAUGUUGGGUUAAGCCCCGCAACGAGCGCAACCCUUGUUCACUGUUGCCAGCACGUUAUGGUGGGGACUCAGUGGAGACCGCCGGGGUCAACUCGGAGGAAGGUGGGGAUGACGUCAAGUCAUCAUGCCCCUUAUGUCCAGGGCUUCACGCAUGCUACAAUGGCUGGUACAGAGAGUGGCGAGCCUGUGAGGGUGAGCGAAUCUCGGAAAGCCGGUCUCAGUUCGGAUUGGGGUCUGCAACUCGACCUCAUGAAGUCGGAGUCGCUAGUAAUCGCAGAUCAGCAACGCUGCGGUGAAUACGUUCCCGGGGCU
RNAcentral lists this ribosomal RNA (1346 nucleotides) under uncultured bacterium. Its description in RNAcentral is "partial 16S ribosomal RNA". It matches the Rfam family "Bacterial small subunit ribosomal RNA", at positions 28 to 1381 of the family's 1533-position model. The record is from RNAcentral.